UGGGGAAUAUUGGACAAUGGGCGCAAGCCUGAUCCAGCCAUGCCGCGUGAGUGACGAAGGCCUUAGGGUUGUAAAGCUCUUUUGGCGGGGACGAUAAUGACGGUACCCGCAGAAUAAGCCCCGGCUAACUUCGUGCCAGCAGCCGCGGUAAUACGAAGGGGGCUAGCGUUGUUCGGAAUCACUGGGCGUAAAGCGCACGUAGGCGGAUUUGUAAGUCAGGGGUGAAAUCCCGGGGCUCAACCUCGGAACUGCCUUUGAUACUGCAAGUCUCGAGUUCGGGAGAGGUGAGUGGAAUUCCUAGUGUAGAGGUGAAAUUCGUAGAUAUUAGGAAGAACACCAGUGGCGAAGGCGGCUCACUGGCCCGAUACUGACGCUGAGGUGCGAAAGCGUGGGGAGCAAACAGGAUUAGAUACCCCUGUAGUCCCUGAGCGGGCUGG
Molecule: ribosomal RNA, 437 nt
Filed under: uncultured bacterium
Lineage: Bacteria
Description: bacterial SSU rRNA
Rfam family: Bacterial small subunit ribosomal RNA
Source: RNAcentral